RNAcentral lists this ribosomal RNA (765 nucleotides) under Salmonella enterica. RNAcentral's name for it is "partial 23S ribosomal RNA". It matches the Rfam family "Bacterial large subunit ribosomal RNA", at positions 426 to 1190 of the family's 2925-position model. Lineage: Bacteria; Pseudomonadati; Pseudomonadota; Gammaproteobacteria; Enterobacterales; Enterobacteriaceae. The record is from RNAcentral.
GUGGUAUCCUGUCUGAAUAUGGGGGGACCAUCCUCCAAGGCUAAAUACUCCUGACUGACCGAUAGUGAACCAGUACCGUGAGGGAAAGGCGAAAAGAACCCCGGCGAGGGGAGUGAAAAAGAACCUGAAACCGUGUACGUACAAGCAGUGGGAGCACAGGUUUACCUGUGUGACUGCGUACCUUUUGUAUAAUGGGUCAGCGACUUAUAUUCUGUAGCAAGGUUAACCGUAUAGGGGAGCCGAAGGGAAACCGAGUCUUAACCGGGCGUUAAGUUGCAGGGUAUAGACCCGAAACCCGGUGAUCUAGCCAUGGGCAGGUUGAAGGUUGGGUAACACUAACUGGAGGACCGAACCGACUAAUGUUGAAAAAUUAGCGGAUGACCUGUGGCUGGGGGUGAAAGGCCAAUCAAACCGGGAGAUAGCUGGUUCUCCCCGAAAGCUAUUUAGGUAGCGCCUCGUGAAUUCAUCUCCGGGGGUAGAGCACUGUUUCGGCUAGGGGGCCAUCCCGGCUUACCAACCCGAUGCAAACUGCGAAUACCGGAGAAUGUUAUCACGGGAGACACACGGCGGGUGCUAACGUCCGUCGUGAAGAGGGAAACAACCCAGACCGCCAGCUAAGGUCCCAAAGUCAUGGUUAAGUGGGAAACGAUGUGGGAAGGCCCAGACAGCCAGGAUGUUGGCUUAGAAGCAGCCAUCAUUUAAAGAAAGCGUAAUAGCUCACUGGUCGAGUCGGCCUGCGCGGAAGAUGUAACGGGGCUAAACCAU